RNAcentral lists this long non-coding RNA (1753 nucleotides) under Pectinophora gossypiella (pink bollworm). RNAcentral's name for it is "uncharacterized LOC126378570". The record is from RNAcentral. Lineage: Eukaryota; Metazoa; Arthropoda; Insecta; Lepidoptera; Gelechiidae.
CCAGAAUGUAUAUAUAGAGGUCAGAAUACAUUGAGGCAAUGUCAUUUUGAUCGGUGUCUGUGAGUGGAUUGGUGUGCAGCCUUAGUUUCAAAUUUAAACGCGAGUUUUAUAUCAAGAACUUACAAAAUGAAGAACUACUUCUUCACCGUAAUGAUGAUCAUAGCGAUGUUCUUCAUCAUCAUCGGCACAGGAGCUAAAGCGCAGGAGUUCCAAUCGAGAUGCCCACCAAACUACGAAUAUGUCGCCAUCUUCAAAACUUGCGUUAACAAGGAUAGAUAUUACAACUGAAAUGAUAAAUUAAUUUGUUAAAUUCCAAUUCAAUUCAAAUUCAAAAAUGUCUUUAUUCAGUAGGUAACAUAGUUACACUUUGAAUCGUCAAUUUUUACAUAACGAACGUCUCAUCCGCCUAAAACUACUGCAGCUUCUCACAACCUGUACAGCCGGGGAAAAGAAGCUGCAAGAAAAACCUCGGCACAGGGCCCUAGACGUUCUUUAAAAAAAUAAAAAUAAACAUAAAAUAUUGGUAUACAAUUGAGUAAUUUAGCUGCCUAAUAUUAGUUCUCAGACAGUUAAUCCCAUGCAUUCAUAUCUUCUAAAUAAUCACUAACUUUAUAAUAACCUUUUUUGUAAAGUUUUUGUUUAACUACUGUCUUAAAACAGUUGAAAGGCAAAUUCUGAAUGUCAAUGGGAAUCUACAAGUACAAGUUAAUUUUAUAUUUGGCUUUUUGGCGGGAAACGGGAACGGGACAGUUGCUUUCUUCAUUGAAUAAUCUAAAUAAUUAAUACGAAGUGGUGUUUUGUGGUUAAUGAUCGCAUUAAGUUAGUCGGAAGACAUUCGCGAGUGUUAUUAUAUCGGAGUAUUCAAUAAACAAAGUGUAUCUGCCUAUUUUCGCUUCGUGGCAGGAAACCGCUUCAUAACUCGAAAGUUUAUGCGGACUUUUGAGUUAAUUCGUUUGGGGUUCAGAGUAGGAGUCUACUCCAAGGGUGGGGGCUUAGGUUUCAUCAUCAUUAUCUUUCAUCAUUUCAUCAAUCAUCAAGAAAAAAAAUACGUAAGACAUGGCUGUAUGGGCAUAGUUCCCUUUGCCUUACCCUUCGGGGAAAACCAAAACAAAAAGAAAAUAAUUUUAUAUUUGCUAUUGAUCGUUUACUGGGGGGGUUAAAAAGGCCACACACGACACUUCCUUUUACACGAAUGCCUCAUAAUGAUGAAAUCCAGUUUGUUUCUGACCUUUGAUCGUUGUACAAAAUGAAAUAGUCUAUUUAGUUGUUUAGUAUUUCAAUGGUAGCGAUUCUAGCGGACUAAACUUAAUUUUAUUUUUGUUUAAUUUUAUUUUAAGUAUGUACCUAUGUAUUUUCUGUCUUGUUGUUUAUAUGUAUUAAUAUAAUUUGACAUAUAAAGGGGGUAAUUUAUUCAGAAAUAAUAAUAAUAAAAAACACAAUGUAAAUCCACCACAGGCUUCGUCUUCGUUGUUUGACAUAUUGUAUAUUAUUUUGUUUUUUAAGUUGUAAAUAAAUAAUAAUUUUGUAGAUAUUAAUAGAACUUUAUGUACUUGAAUAAAAAAAUAUAUUGGCGUCCCUUUUUAAUAUUAGGUACUCUAUUUUAUUUCUAGUUUUCAAAUCGAUUUAUUUUAUUUUCAGAUAAUAUUAAAAUGUUCCAUAAUAAAAUUCACGUCUGCUAAAAUGGGCGCCAUUAGAUACUUUAUUAUUUAGUUUUUAAGAACAUUAAAAUAAAAAUAAAAAAAUUAAGUAUAUA